GGAAGUUUGGCAGGUUGGAGUUCACGUGCAACUUCAGCACCACUAUAUUAAAGUUCAUUCAGAAGGAAGUUUUCUGUCAAUAAGUGCUCGUGGUUUAUAAGUGACAGUUGGUUUGAGAUGUCAGGGGAGGAUGUAAACAGGUGGGUCACAACAAUGCUUCUUCCAGCCUGUACUGGUUGUGUCGGCUUGUUUUAACACAGCUUCAUACGCUAACAUUUUCAGUGGACACUUUGGGAGGAUGCUGUUACCCUCCUGGAGGACUCGGGACAACACUGAGGUCCUUGUCCUGUGACAGCAAGCCUUCUUGAUGUUAGGUAGCAGGUUCUUAUUUUAUAUUCACCCCAGAACACUAUCGCUGAAAAUAGUAACACCAUCACUAUCGCCGGGUGAUUUUUACCCGAAAUAAUAAACCCAAGAAAAAGUACUUGUCAUCAAAAUAUAUCAAAAUAGGAUACAACAAAUUAAAGGAGUUUUCUUUUAUUUUUCACCAUAUGAAUUCCCUUGAAAAUCACUACUUUGUGAUAGCUAUUCCUAACCACUGCACUAAAUAAAGAUAGCAUGCAAAUUCCAGGACCACUCUUACUGACCUUAUUCCCUACAUAUGCAGCUAUCAAAUCCAGCCAAACCUACUUUACCUUCUAUCUCUAUAAACACGUGCCUGUAGGAAAAAGCAGGUUUUGCAUCAGGGAAAUAAAUAUGCCUUCAAAGAUGUCAAAGGUAAUGCUGAAGCUACCCAGGGACACAUGAUACUCAGACAAACGCAACAUAAUGAAAAUCACAUAAACAUGUUUGGUCGUGUGAAAAUCACCCGACCAAACAGAUUAACGACAGCACAAUAAAAUUAUGCACAGACAAAAUAGUAUUGAUUUUUGACUGCAGCAGCCUUGGCAAUGAUAUUCAGUUCAUUUACAUGUUGUACAAAGAUAUCGAUGUAUUGCCAGCUCUGUCCCACUGAAACUGGACUUUGGAAAAAUAUGACCUACUGACUGAUUAUCAUACCGUAAAUACAGACUUAUCAGUGUUGCAUGCAUGGUGCAUCAAUUUGAUGUUUUUAAAAGGUUAAAACCAUAAAGGAUUAGUGUUAGUGGUACUUUGGGCUUGGAGCUUGAAAAUAGUCCAGCUCCGGUCAAACCAGGACAUAUAACGAUAAAGUGGUGUUAAAAUUGAACUCAAAGCAGCACUGUUCCAAGGCUGAGAGAGCUACUAUCAUUGUUGGAGUCUUGUGAAAAUCUAUACAGUUUUUUUUCCUCCUCUUAGUUUUUUUUUUUUUAAAGCAUAAAAAGAAGAGUUUCCCUGGAGUGUAUUCAUUGGCUGGCUUUGAAAGAAACAACACUACACCGCCCUCCCUGCAGUUAAAAACAACUUAGUGUCUGACUCAAUGUUUCACCAAAAUGUGAGGAUCAACCUUGGGUCAUGAGCCAGAGGUCAGCACACUCCAAAAGAAGAGAAAACUCUGCCAGCGGUCUAAAUCCACCGGUGGUGUUUCAUGCUUUUAUAGUUCUUUGUUUCCUUCUUUUACAGCCUUGAGAGCCGGGCCUUGACACGACAGCCCCACC
RNAcentral lists this long non-coding RNA (1556 nucleotides) under Xyrichtys novacula (pearly razorfish). Lineage: Eukaryota; Metazoa; Chordata; Actinopteri; Labriformes; Labridae. The record is from RNAcentral.